This 1162-nucleotide long non-coding RNA is filed under the name Lepisosteus oculatus (spotted gar). RNAcentral's name for it is "lncRNA (ENSLOCG00000022804.1)". The record is from RNAcentral. Lineage: Eukaryota; Metazoa; Chordata; Actinopteri; Semionotiformes; Lepisosteidae.
CGCAGGGGCGCGGAUUUCCCGAGCCAGGGGGAGAUCCAGGUGAUCCCUACUCUGGGAUCCCUAGCGGAGCUGUUCGUUUUGUCCCUCUCUCUCUCUCUCUCCAGGCGAUUCCGAGGAGAUGGAGGAGGAUGCGGGCAGUGGGGGGGCCGCGGAGGGCGGGCCCUGGCAGAUCCACAGGCAGCGGCCCUGGCGUCCGCAGAGCGACGGGCAGCUGGAGAUGUCGGAGGACGAGAGGGAGGGGGCAGCCAGAGCGGGAGGGGCGUCGGAGGACCGCAGGGAUUCUCCAGACGACAGCGGAGGGGAUGACCGCUGGACAGGAGGGAGUUGUCCUGAAGCCAGGAUGACAGAAGCGGCCCCCCUUGACCGCCCGCAGGAGACUGCAGAGGGCAGGGGGGUCAGGAACGUGGGAGGAGGGCUCUCUGCUCCGGCCUGGUCCCCCCAGCUCCCUGUGCAGAGGGCUCGAGAGCCGCCCACAGCGUCCCGCGACAGUGUGGACUGGACCAUCCUGAGCCGGUUCUCCAGCGAGGACCUGGCCAACGGGCCCGACAUCGAGGCCGAGACCUUCCCCGAGUCCUCCUUCACCGAGAGCGUGGCGGGGUCGGUCAGCAGUCGCCCGAGUCGAGCCCCCGCCGGGGAGGGCUCGUCCCCGAGGGGGAGCACAGAGUCCGGGGGCGCAGAGCCGAGACGCGGCGGCCUCUGUCCCUUCCCCACGCCCUUCCCCCCCGAGUCCGGAGGGGAGUUCGGACAGGGAGACGAGGAGGCGGAGGAUGACGAAGGUGUAGGGGCGAGGGCGGUGUCCUCUUGGAUGAAACCUGUGCCCAGCCACGCGCCGUCCCCCACUGACCGAAACUCAAAGAGCGACACCCCCAGAUCCUCUCGGCCUGCCCCUUCUCGUUCUGCAGACGGCCCCGGGACGGCCCCCUCAGAGCCCCCUGCGCGGCGAGGAGCUCAGACAGGAAACCACGGGGUCUCCAGACUGCCAAGAGGGGUGUCCCCCAAACCCUCGUCGGAGAGCUCCGGCACCCCUGUUAUUGAACCCCCCAGGUACGGCCGGGGCCCCCUCAACCACCCCCUCCCCGACUUCUCGAGGGUGGGGCCCAGGGUCCGGAUCCCCAAGGACGGCUACAGACCCCCCCGGGGCCGGGGGUCGCCCCAGAAGAGA